UACGAAGGGGGCUAGCGUUGUUCGGAAUCACUGGGCUUAAAGGGCGCGUAGGCGGUCCGACAAGUCAGGGGUGAAAUCCUGCAGCUUAACUGCAGAAGUGCCUCUGAUACUGUCGGUCCGGAGGGAGAUAGGGGUGUGCGGAACUUCCAGUGGAGCGGUGAAAUGCGUUGAUAUUGGAAGGAACGCCGGAGGCGAAAGCGGCGCACUGGAUCUCUUCUGACGCUGAGGCGCGAAAGCUAGGGGAGCAAACGGG
This 253-nucleotide ribosomal RNA is filed under the name uncultured bacterium. RNAcentral's name for it is "partial 16S ribosomal RNA". It matches the Rfam family "Bacterial small subunit ribosomal RNA", at positions 524 to 776 of the family's 1533-position model. The record is from RNAcentral.